Molecule: ribosomal RNA, 373 nt
Filed under: uncultured organism
Description: bacterial SSU rRNA
Rfam family: Bacterial small subunit ribosomal RNA
Source: RNAcentral
CAGAGGGUGCGAGCGUUGUCCGGAAUCACUGGGCGUAAAGGGCGCGUAGGUGGCGCGACAAGUCAGUGGUGAAAGUUCGACGCUCAACGUCGAAUCGGCCACUGAUACUGUUGGGCUUGAGCACUGUAGAGGCUAAUGGAAUUCCGGGUGUAGCGGUGGAAUGCGUAGAGAUCCGGAAGAACACCGGUGGCGAAGGCGGUUAGCUGGGCAGUUGCUGACACUGAGGCGCGACAGCGUGGGGAGCAAACAGGAUUAGAUACCCUGGUAGUCCACGCCGUAAACGAUGGGCACUAGAUGCUUGGGGGAGCGACCCCCUGAGUGUCGACGCUAACGCAUUAAAGUGCCCCGCCUGGGGAGUACGGCCGCAAGGCUG